Molecule: ribosomal RNA, 315 nt
Filed under: uncultured bacterium
Lineage: Bacteria
Description: bacterial SSU rRNA
Rfam family: Bacterial small subunit ribosomal RNA
Source: RNAcentral
GAUGAACGCUGGCGGCGUGCCUAACACAUGCAAGUCGAACGGGGGCAGAUUGAAACCUAGUGAUAUCUGCCCGAGUGGCGGACGGGUGAGUAACGCGUGGACAACCUGCCGUAUGCAGGGGGAUACCAGCUGGAAACAGCUGCUAAUACCGCAUAUGCGCACAGGGCCGCAUGGCCUGGUGCGGAAAGGAGCAAUCCGGCAUACGAUGGGUCCGCGUCCGAUUAGCUAGUUGGCGGGGCAGCGGCCCACCAAGGCGACGAUCGGUAGCCGGCCUGAGAGGGCGGACGGCCACAUUGGGACUGAGACACGGCCCAG